This 497-nucleotide ribosomal RNA is filed under the name uncultured bacterium. RNAcentral describes it as "partial 16S ribosomal RNA". It matches the Rfam family "Bacterial small subunit ribosomal RNA", at positions 28 to 507 of the family's 1533-position model. The record is from RNAcentral.
GAUGAACGCUGGCGGCGUGCCUAAUACAUGCAAGUCGAGCGAACGGACGAGAAGCUUGCUUCUCUGAUGUUAGCGGCGGACGUGUGAGUAACACGUGGUUCCCCUACCUAUAAGACUGGUAUAACUUCGUGAAACCGGAGCUAGUACCGGAUAAUAUUUUGAUCCGCAGGGUUCAAAAGUGGAUGACGGUCUUGCUGUCACUUAUAGCCUGAUCCGCGCUGCAUUAGCUAGUUGGUAAGGGAACGGCUUACCAAGGCAACGAUGCAUAGCCGAACUGAGAGGGUGCUCGCCCACACUGGAACUGGGCUACCGUCCAGACUCCUACGGGAGGCAGCAGUAGGGAAUCUUCCGCAAUGGGCGAAAGCCUGACGGAGCAACGCCGCGUGAGUGAUGACGGUCUUCGGAUCGUAAAACUCUGUUAUUAGGGAAGAACAUAUGUGUAAGGAACUGUGCACAUCUUGACGGUACCUAAUCAGAAAGCCACGGCUAACUACGUG